GUUGAUGUUAAAAAUUGCCGAAAAACUGCCGAAUAUUCAACCACUUCUCAGCCUCAACGGAUACGGAUACCUAUGGAAUUACAUCCAUUGCAUGCACCCAACCAAUAGAAACAGCAGAAGUCGGAACGCCCUUAAAAGAACUGUGCAGCUCGCUUCCCAAGGAUUUCCGCUGGUGGAACUUCCGUUCUUGAUAGUGCUAUCACUAUUCGGGAAAAUUCGGCAUGCAUGUAGCCGACGGCCGGCGAUGAAAUACCCGCACCGGUACUCAAGUAUAGUUACGAUUGUAAUUGUGACCUGCAGAUUCCCUGAAAUAGCGCAAAUCUAUGACCGCAGCAGAGGCUAUUCCAAGCAAAAUCUUCUUUUACAUCUGGCAGCUGUACUUUGGGCGGCUAUGGACUCCCCAGAAGCAGUGCAAAAUCUAUGUUGGAUCACAUCCCAUCACCCCACCCGGUUUUCUCAUAACCCCUCAUAGAGCAAACCAAUACACCGUGAUAACACCAGCGAAGCCAUCUAGUCCUGCUAGAGCAUUCCUCAUUUCGAACCAAAAUGUGGAAUCCGUCGAAUCAGCAGCCACCGUAUUCACAGUUCCAGCUGCCAGCCGUGGAACAAAUUGUCAUCCACACCACAAAGUGUUCAACGAGAUGAACACCCGUUUCGCCCACGCAACAAGGAGGAAUAUCAGACGGCGGAACCAACUGUUACUUAUGUCACCAGAAGUAGCUCCUGCUGUUCCCGAUUUUAAAAGUGGUAUAUGCUUUCGUUUUAUUAGAUAGAGGCUUCAAUUAUGUACUAUGUUGAACUUGUAUUAAUG
Molecule: long non-coding RNA, 811 nt
Organism: Armigeres subalbatus
Lineage: Eukaryota; Metazoa; Arthropoda; Insecta; Diptera; Culicidae
Exons: 4
Source: RefSeq, a predicted model, not a curated record